AUACGGAGGGUGCAAGCGUUAAUCGGAAUUACUGGGCGUAAAGCGUACGUAGGCGGUUAUUUAAGUCAGAUGUGGAAGCCCCGGGCUUAACUUGGGAACUGCAUUUGAAACUGGGUAACUAGAGUUUAGUAGAGGGGAGUGGAAUUUCAGGUGUAGCGGUGAAAUGCGUAGAGAUCUGAAGGAACACCAGUGGCGAAGGCGACUCCCUGGACUAAAACUGACGCUGAGGUACGAAAGCGUGGGUAGCAAACAGGAUUAGAAACCCCAGUAGUCC
RNAcentral lists this ribosomal RNA (274 nucleotides) under uncultured bacterium. Its description in RNAcentral is "partial 16S ribosomal RNA". It matches the Rfam family "Bacterial small subunit ribosomal RNA", at positions 523 to 796 of the family's 1533-position model. The record is from RNAcentral.